RNAcentral lists this ribosomal RNA (253 nucleotides) under uncultured bacterium. RNAcentral describes it as "partial 16S ribosomal RNA". It matches the Rfam family "Bacterial small subunit ribosomal RNA", at positions 524 to 776 of the family's 1533-position model. The record is from RNAcentral.
UACGAAGGGGGCUAGCGUUGCUCGGAAUCACUGGGCGUAAAGCGCACGUAGGCGGAUUGUUAAGUCAGGGGUGAAAUCCUGGAGCUCAACUCCAGAACUGCCUUUGAUACUGGCGACCUUGAGUCCGGGAGAGGUGAGUGGAACUGCGAGUGUAGAGGUGAAAUUCGUAGAUAUUCGCAAGAACACCAGUGGCGAAGGCGGCUCACUGGCCCGGUACUGACGCUGAGGAGCGAAAGCGUGGGGAGCGAACAGG